CCGAGUACCGGGUCUUCUAGGCCCUUACUCCCACCCCUUGUGUAUCUACCUUUUUUUCGUUGCCUCGGCGGGGUCGAUCCCUGGGCCUCGCGGCCCGGGGGGACCUGCCGGGGGGACACUUCUAAACUAUUGUUAACUGUACCGUCUGAGAACAAACUUAACAAGUUA
This 168-nucleotide unclassified non-coding RNA is filed under the name uncultured Tubeufiaceae. RNAcentral describes it as "sequence contains ITS1". The record is from RNAcentral. Lineage: Eukaryota; Fungi; Ascomycota; Dothideomycetes; Tubeufiales; Tubeufiaceae.